UACAGAGGGUGCGAGCGUUAAUCGGAAUUACUGGGCGUAAAGCGUGCGUAGACGGCUAUCUAAGUCGGGUGUGAAAGCCCCGGGCUCAACCUGGGAAUUGCAUUCGAGACUGAAUAGCUAGGGUACGGUAGAGGGAAGCGGAAUUUCCGGUGUAGCGGUGAAAUGCGUAGAUAUCGGAAGGAACAUCAGUGGCGAAAGCGGCUUCCUGGACCAGUACCGACGUUCAGGCCCGAAAGCGUGGGGAGCAAACAGG
RNAcentral lists this ribosomal RNA (253 nucleotides) under uncultured bacterium. Its description in RNAcentral is "partial 16S ribosomal RNA". It matches the Rfam family "Bacterial small subunit ribosomal RNA", at positions 524 to 776 of the family's 1533-position model. The record is from RNAcentral.